AUGGUUUUGGCAGAGUGGUUUGUGCGGCCCUCCUAUGCUUGAUGUCUCGGGUUCGAUUCCCGUACGGUACA
Molecule: non-coding RNA, 71 nt
Organism: Baffinella frigidus
Lineage: Eukaryota; Cryptophyceae; Cryptomonadales; Baffinellaceae
Source: the annotation of a GenBank genome assembly